This 255-nucleotide ribosomal RNA is filed under the name uncultured bacterium. RNAcentral describes it as "partial 16S ribosomal RNA". It matches the Rfam family "Bacterial small subunit ribosomal RNA", at positions 524 to 776 of the family's 1533-position model. The record is from RNAcentral.
UACGGGGGGAGCAAGCGUUGUUCGGAUUUACUGGGCGUAAAGGGCGCGUAGGCGGCCACCGCAAGUCGACUGUGAAAUCUCCGGGCUUAACCCGGAACGGUCAGCCGAUACUGCGGGGCUAGAGUGCAGAAGGGGCAACUGGAAUUCUCGGUGUAGCGGUGAAAUGCGUAGAUAUCUGGAGGAAUACCGGUGGCGAAGGCGGCAUCCUGGACCGGCAUUGACGCUGGAACAGCGAAAGCUAGGGGAGCAAACGGG